CAUAUAUUAUUAAUAUUCCCUUAAAAACCAUCUCGUGAAAUGUGACAACUUAGCCUCCUGCAAUGUUAGUAAACAAACGAGAUGAUGGCACGCAUAGAUAAGCAUCAAGGCAUCUCUAUCUUUAUUUCUUACUCUGAGAUGCAAACGAGUAAAUGUCGAACGUGUGUGGAUCGAUGUGAGGAAAACGAGGAGCCAAUAUCGAUUUGCUUUGUGAAGGGAUUUGUUUGUUGUCCGAAACUUGGAAAGUAAGCGAGCAAAAAUAAAAAUGUUCCUAUCUUGUACUGUUCUUUGAUAACCUACGCGAAUAAAUAAACUUCUGCAUAAUA
Long non-coding RNA from Photinus pyralis (common eastern firefly), 326 nucleotides. RefSeq lists it as uncharacterized. NCBI's taxonomy places the organism in Eukaryota, Metazoa, Arthropoda, Insecta, Coleoptera, Lampyridae. The transcript has 2 exons. The record is from RefSeq and is a predicted model, not a curated record.